This 508-nucleotide ribosomal RNA is filed under the name uncultured bacterium. RNAcentral's name for it is "partial 16S ribosomal RNA". It matches the Rfam family "Bacterial small subunit ribosomal RNA", at positions 28 to 507 of the family's 1533-position model. The record is from RNAcentral.
GACGAACGCUGGCGGCGUGCCUAAUACAUGCAAGUCGAGCGCAGGAAGUCAUCCGACCCCUUCGGGGGGACGUUGACGGAAUGAGCGGCGGACGGGUGAGUAACACGUAAAGAACCUGCCCUCAGGUCUGGGAUAACCACGAGAAAUCGGGGCUAAUACCGGAUGGGUCAUCGGACCGCAUGGUCCGAGGAUGAAAGGCGCUCCGGCGUCGCCUGGGGAUGGCUUUGCGGUGCAUUAGCUAGUUGGUGGGGUAACGGCCCACCAAGGCGACGAUGCAUAGCCGACCUGAGAGGGUGAUCGGCCACACUGGGACUGAGACACGGCCCAGACUCCUACGGGAGGCAGCAGUAGGGAAUCUUCCACAAUGGACGAAAGUCUGAUGGAGCAACGCCGCGUGAACGAUGAAGGCCCUCGGGUCGUAAAGUUCUGUUGUAAGGGAAGAACAAGUGCCGCAGGCAAUGGCGGCACCUUGACGGUACCUUGCGAGAAAGCCACGGCUAACUACGUG